Cervus elaphus (red deer) is the source of this 181-nucleotide long non-coding RNA. RefSeq lists it as uncharacterized. The transcript is spliced from 3 exons. NCBI's taxonomy places the organism in Eukaryota, Metazoa, Chordata, Mammalia, Artiodactyla, Cervidae. The record is from RefSeq and is a predicted model, not a curated record.
GAUCGGUGAGCUCAGGAGUUCUGGGCUGCAGUGCACUAUGCCGAUUGGGUGUCCGCACUAAGUUCAGCAUCAAUAUGGUGACCUCCCGGGAGCGGGGGACCACCAGGUUGCCUAAGGAGGGGUGAACCGGCCCAGAUCGGAAAUGGAGCAGGGUGUGAGGGAAAGAGAGCAGGUCUGGGGG